Molecule: ribosomal RNA, 505 nt
Filed under: uncultured bacterium
Lineage: Bacteria
Description: partial 16S ribosomal RNA
Rfam family: Bacterial small subunit ribosomal RNA
Source: RNAcentral
GACGAACGCUGGCGGCGUGCCUAAUACAUGCAAGUAGAACGCCCAGUUUAUACCGUAUCUUGCUACACCAUAAACUGUGAGUUGCGAACGGGUGAGUAACGCGUAUGUAACCUGCCUUGUAGCGGGGGAUAACUAUUGUUACCGUUAUCUAAUACCCCAUAUUAUUGAUUAUUGCAUGAUUCUUGAUUGAAUGCUCCUAUUGCUUCACUACCAUCUGGUCCUGCGUUUUAUUAGCUAGUAGGUGAGGUAACGGCUCACCUAAGCGGCGAUACAUAGGCGACCUGGAAAGGAGGACGGCCACAACGGGAAUGAAGAACGGCCCAAACUCCUACGGGGAGGAGGAGUAGGGAAAUAUCGGAAAUGGACGAAAGUCUGGACGAGCAACGACGGGGGAGUGAAGGAAGUUUUCGGAGCGUAAAGCUCUGUUGGAAGAGAAGAAAGAGUGGGAGAGUGGAAAGUUCACACUGUGACGGUAUCUUAACAGAAAGGGACGGCUAACUACGUG